Molecule: long non-coding RNA, 464 nt
Organism: Armigeres subalbatus
Lineage: Eukaryota; Metazoa; Arthropoda; Insecta; Diptera; Culicidae
Exons: 3
Source: RefSeq, a predicted model, not a curated record
CCCAAUAAUAAGAGCUAGUUUACAAAUAUAGUAGAGAUAGACAUAGUCACAUAGUCACCAGUGAACAGAAAGGUGAACAUAGAAGUGAACAUAUAGUGAACAAAAUUAGAGAGCAUAACCAAUGAUAAGCCGAUAUCCCAUUCCGGUUAGAGACUAUAACACAGAUUCCCAAAUGUACAACAGAUACAGACAACACGACAGGCUAAAAGUAUUAAGACAAGAGCGAUCAAUUCUUUAUCCCUGAAGAAGGUCCCAAAUACGGACCGAAACGUCGGAACAAGAACAUUAUAGUUCGUUUGAUACAAUAUUAAGACUGCUAAGCCAAUAAAACAAUACGUAUUAAAAGAAAUUAUCUUGCGUGAAAAAUCACUUUGACUCGGUUUUUUAGCAGCCAUGUUUCGUUGACUUAUGCAGACUGGCUGUGCUAGAGUUUUUCUUUUGCCCAAUAAAAGAGUUUUCUGAAU